UCUUUGAUGGUCUAACGGUCAUGAUUUCCGCUUGUCAUAAAACACAAGUCGCGGGAGAUCGGGGUUCGACUCCCCGUCAGAGAG
Molecule: non-coding RNA, 84 nt
Organism: Stipitochalara longipes BDJ
Lineage: Eukaryota; Fungi; Ascomycota; Leotiomycetes; Helotiales; Hamatocanthoscyphaceae
Source: the annotation of a GenBank genome assembly